This 3158-nucleotide long non-coding RNA is filed under the name Triticum aestivum (bread wheat). Its description in RNAcentral is "long non-coding RNA (TAES_LNC024064)". Lineage: Eukaryota; Viridiplantae; Streptophyta; Magnoliopsida; Poales; Poaceae. The record is from RNAcentral.
CACAAAAUAAAAUAAUACAAGCUUUAUAUUACAAGCCAGGGGCCUCGAGGGCUCGAAUACAUAAGCUGGAAUGCACAAGAGUCAGCGGAAGCAGUAAUAUCUGAGUACAGACAUAAGUUAAACAAGUUUGCCUUAAGAAGGCUAGCACGAAAGUAGAACGAUCAAAAAGGCAAGGCCUCCUGCCUGGGACCUCCUAACUACUCCUCGACGCCGAACUCCACAUAGAAACAUCCUCGAGAUCCUCUCGCUCCUGGGCUCCAUCAUCUGGUCGCAACAACCGGGUAUAGAAAGGGAAAAAGGGGGAGCAAAGCAACCGUGAGUACUCAUCCAAAGUAUAUGUGGACUGAACUGCAGAAUGCCAGAAUAAGAGGGGGAUAGCUAGUCCUAUCGAAGACUACGCUUCUAGCAGCCUCCAUCUUGCAGCAUGUAGAAGAGAGUAGAUGGUAAUUUCACCAAGUAUCAUCGCAUAGCAUAAUCCUACCCGGCGAUCCUCCCCUCGUCGCCCUGUUAGAGAGCGACCAUCGGGUUGUAUCUGGACCUUGGAAGGGUGUGUUUUAUUAAGUAUCAUGUUCUAGUUGUCAUAAGGUCAAGGUACAACUCCGGGUCGUCCUUUUACCGAGGGACACGGCUAUUCGAAUAGAUAAACUUCCCUGUAGGGGUGCACCACAUUUCCCAACACGCCCGAUUCCCCUUGGCCAGACACACUUUCCUGGGUCAUGCCCGGCCUCGGAAGAUCAACAUGUCGCAGCCCUACCUAGGCACAACAGAAAGGUCAGCACGCCGUCUAAAUCCUAUGGCGCAGGGGUCUGGGCCCAUCGCCCGUUGCACACCUGCAUGUUGUGAACGCGACUAGUAAGCAGACCUAGCCUCCCUAAUACAAAAGUAGGCGUUCCAGUCCAAUCCGGCGCGCGCCGCUCAGUCGCUGAUGUCAAGAAGGCUUCGGCUGAUACCACAACGUCGAGUGCCCAUAACUAUUCCCGCGUAGUUGGUUAGUGCGUAUAGGCCAACGGCCAGACUCAGAUCAAAUACGAAGAUCUCGUUAAGCGUGUUAUUUUGAUGUAACCGCGGAUGCCGACCAGGGCCAGGCCCACCUCUCUCCUAGGUGAUCUCAACCUACCUUGUCGCUCCGCCACAAAGUAACAGUCGGGGGCCAUCGGGAACCCAGGCCCACCACUACCGGGAUGGAAUCACCUGUCCUUUCAGCCCCCACAUCAAAAUCACUUGCGGGUACUCUACGAGCCGACCCGACUUUAGUCACAUCAUGUAAUCUACAUAAUAUGUAUGUAUGUGUAAAUCCGUGAUCACCUCCCGAAUGAUCACGGCCCAAUAGUAUAGUAUGGCAUACGGACAAGAAUGUAGGGCCACUGAUGAAAUACUAGCAUCCUAUACUAAGCAUUUAGGAUUGCAGGCAAGGUAUCAACAAUUGUAGCAACAAUGACAUGCUAUGCAACAUAAUAGGAUUAACCGGAAACAGUAACAUGUUACACUACUCUAAUGCAAGAAGUAGAGAGAAGGAAUAGGCGAUAUCUGCUGAUCAAGGGAGGGUUUGCCUGGAAACUCUGUUGCACAAGAAGAAGGGUCGUCGGUGACUUAGUCGUACUCAGUCACACCAACGCAGGUCUCGGGGUCUACCGGAGAAGAAGAGGGGGAAGAAACAAUAAAUACAAAGCAAACAAAUGCAUCACAAAGCAUAACUAUGACAAUACGCGAUCUUAGGGAUGACCUAACGCGGUGCUACACGUUACAGACGAAGCGGGAAAAUAUCUGUGGAUAUUUCCCGGGCUUUGGGCAUUUACCGAACGGACGAUCCGAAGAGGGACGUUCCAUGUUUGUUGUGUUGGAGGCAUGUGACGGAUGAACGUGAAGCACAUUCGGACUCGUCUUAUUUUUCUGUUCAUUUUUCAUAUAUAAAACUUUUUCAUCCGAGCUACGGUUAUUUUUGUAUGAAUUUCCAAAGUUUUAUCAAUGUUCUAGAAUUUUGUGUUUCAUUUAAAUCCGAAUUGACCAAGUCAAUGUGACUAGUCAAAAGGAGAGGUGGUGGCCCAUAUGACACUGAUUUAAUAAUUUCUAAAAUAUUUAUCUAAUCUAUUUAGAUGGAACCCACUUGUCAUUUUCUAAAAGGGCUAGUUAGCACUAAACUAAUCCUAAACUAAACAUAGCCUAAUUAACAAGGGCCGACCAUUACUGGACAGAGUCCAGCCGGCCACACACCACACCUCACACACGCACGCUGUACACACAACACAACACAACACACAUACAUACACAACACACGCACACACAGUGCUAGGGGUUAAUUAUGUUCUCUAUUUAGAAAAGAUAGCAUUUUGUGAUUUUUAUAGAAAUUAAUCCAUGCAUCAAAUUGAUUUGGUCCAAUGGAAACAUUUGAGCUUUGACAAGUAUACUACCUACAAAUAUUAUUCUUACUCCCGUUAACAGUUGUUUAGCCGCAGUUUAGGGGCUGCCCAGAGGGUUACUCAGUGUAAUAUUCAUAAAGCGAACCAUUCUAGAGUAACUAGCAGCAGUAUAAGCAGAGCGGUGGGCAUUGGCGUGGCGCAGGCUCGACUGGGGAAGGCGAGGCAGGCACGGGUGAGCGCAGGGCGCGGCCGACGUGGCUAGCGGAAGCUGGGGUAGCGAGCGUCAGCAGAGCAGCGGUAGCACACGGCAACGGCGACGUGCAGCGCGGCACGGCGGCGUGCGACAGCGGCGCAUGCAGUGCGCGGAGCAGAGCAGGUGCGGCAGCGGCGGUCGGAGGCGGUUGCGGACUCAACGACGACAAAUUGAAGGAUGCAAAGGAGGGAUCCGGGAGAGGAGCUCACAGCGAGCUCGGGGGCGCGGUCGAGGAGGCCGAGGUGGACUGGAGCUGUCGGAAUCGACGACGACGGCCGGAGAUGUACGUGACGGGGACGAUGACGAUGGCGGGCGUACAGAGCCUCCCCGGUCCAACCCAACAGCGUAGAUGAAGGAGGGGAUGGUGGUGAAGCCCCUGGACGUCCCAGCUCAACGCGGGGAUGACGACGGCCGCGAGGACGACAAAGCCGUGGCAACGGCUGCGACUGCGAUCGCUGCGGAGAUGAGGACGGACGAGGGAUAGGAGAAAUGGAUCUGGGGGCAGCUAGGGAGGGGAUUAGGGUUUGGGGAAGGGGUGCCAGGGUCUU